AGAGUUUGAUCCUGGCUCAGGACGAACGCUGGCGGCGUGCUUAACACAUGCAAGUCGAACGGAAAGGCCCUGCUUUUGUGGGGUGCUCGAGUGGCGAACGGGUGAGUAACACGUGAGUAACCUGCCCUUGACUUUGGGAUAACUUCAGGAAACUGGGGCUAAUACCGGAUAGGAGCUCCUGCUGCAUGGUGGGGGUUGGAAAGUUUCGGCGGUUGGGGAUGGACUCGCGGCUUAUCAGCUUGUUGGUGGGGUAGUGGCUUACCAAGGCUUUGACGGGUAGCCGGCCUGAGAGGGUGACCGGCCACAUUGGGACUGAGAUACGGCCCAGACUCCUACGGGAGGCAGCAGUGGGGAAUAUUGCACAAUGGGCGGAAGCCUGAUGCAGCAACGCCGCGUGCGGGAUGACGGCCUUCGGGUUGUAAACCGCUUUCGCCUGUGACGAAGCGUGAGUGACGGUAAUGGGUAAAGAAGCACCGGCUAACUACGCGCCAGCAGCCGCGGUGAUACGUAGGGUGCGAGCGUUGUCCGGAUUUAUUGGGCGUAAAGGGCUCGUAGGUGGUUGAUCGCGUCGGAAGUGUAAUCUUGGGGCUUAACCCUGAGCGUGCUUUCGAUACGGGUUGACUUGAGGAAGGUAGGGGAGAAUGGAAUUCCUGGUGGAGCGGUGGAAUGCGCAGAUAUCAGGAGGAACACCAGUGGCGAAGGCGGUUCUCUGGGCCUUUCCUGACGCUGAGGAGCGAAAGCGUGGGGAGCGAACAGGCUUAGAUACCCUGGUAGUCCACGCUGUAAACGGUGGGUACUAGGUGUGGGGUCCAUUCCACGGGUUCCGUGCCGUAGCUAACGCUUUAAGUACCCCGCCUGGGGAGUACGGCCGCAAGGCUAAAACUCAAAGGAAUUGACGGGGCCCCGCACAAGCGGCGGAGCAUGCGGAUUAAUUCGAUGCAACGCGUAGAACCUUACCUGGGUUUGACAUGGAUCGGGAGUGCUAAGAGAUGGGUGUGCCUCUUUUGGGGUCGGUUCACAGGUGGUGCAUGGCUGUCGUCAGCUCGUGUCGUGAGAUGUUGGGUUAAGUCCCGCAACGAGCGCAACCCUUGUUCACUGUUGCCAGCACGUUAUGGUGGGGACUCAGUGGAGACCGCCGGGGUCAACUCGGAGGAAGGUGGGGAUGACGUCAAGUCAUCAUGCCCCUUAUGUCCAGGGCUUCACGCAUGCUACAAUGGCUGGUACAGAGAGUGGCGAGCCUGUGAGGGUGAGCGAAUCUCGGAAAGCCGGUCUCAGUUCGGAUUGGGGUCUGCAACUCGACCUCAUGAAGUCGGAGUCGCUAGUAAUCGCAGAUCAGCAACGCUGCGGUGAGUACGUUCCCGGGGCUUGUACACACCGCCCGUCAAGUCAUGAAAGUUGGUAACACCCGAAGCCGGUGGCCUAACCGUUGUGGGGGAGCCGUCGAAGGUGGGACUGGUGAUUAGGACUAAGUCGUAACAAGGUAACCGUA
This 1489-nucleotide ribosomal RNA is filed under the name uncultured Propionibacterium sp. RNAcentral describes it as "bacterial SSU rRNA". It matches the Rfam family "Bacterial small subunit ribosomal RNA". Lineage: Bacteria; Bacillati; Actinomycetota; Actinomycetes; Propionibacteriales; Propionibacteriaceae. The record is from RNAcentral.